UCUUAGACUAGCAGCACUGCCAAAGAAAACCCUUUAUUGAAAAUAUUAAAGUUUAGUUUGUCAGUGGUGAUGCAUACAGAGACAAGUGCAUUUCUCCUUGAAUUGUAGGAAGGCCAUCCAGUGCUACAGAGUAAGUUCCAGAGCAGUGAGGGCUACCCAAAGAAAUCCUGUCCAAAAAAAAACAAGCAAAAAACCUUUUAAAAAGAUGGCAAGAUUACAUUUAGAAAUGCUUUCUUUUAAAACAGAACAUUUCAGAAUUUCAUGAAUUUGAUUAUCAGACAACUGAAGUAUUGAUAGAACUUUUAAGAAUUAUGCAAAGCUUACAUUUAUAUUUUGUUCAAAGCACAAGAUAGCAGGCCUUAUUCUUUGAAGUCUACAACUUAAAAGUAAAAGAAUCCUAAUAUUCUAAAAGUUUGUAACAUAAGGUACUCUAAUGAAAUAUAAUUUGUGCCUCAGGAGUGGGGUCCAUUUACUAUGUUGUUGAAAGUAUAAUUUUUGCAUGCAUCAAGAAUAAUUAAACUUCUAGAAAGUACUGCUUACCUAAUUGCUUCUGGGGUCCAUAGUGCGGUUAAAUCACAAGUGUAACAAAUUUGGUUUAUACUUGAAUUCAGAUGGUGUUACAAAGUCUGCUUUCAGUUAUUUGCUAUGUCCCUGUACAACAUUGAAUGAAGCUUUAAGAUAAAUAAGCCUGUCGGCUUCCAUCUACUUGUGGGUCAGGUUUUUAAAAGAAAAGUCUGGCACUAGUUUCUACUCUAUUUAGCUAUUGAUAGAAAAAAAGACUAGCAGAUGAGGAUCCACUUCUGAGUGACUUCUGAAGUUAUCACUUAAUUUGACGCCUUAGUAUUAUAGUAAUCUCAUGCCACUUGUUAGGGGGAGAACACCUAUUCAGAUUACACAUUGAGCUUAAACUGAGUUUAAUGAAUCACUUCUGGGAAUCUCCAAGAAAUAAGUUUGGACUCAGUGCAGCUGUAGACAAAAAGACCUGCUCUUUUUCUAUUGCUUGCUUGAUCAUUGGGACUUAAAAAAAAUUGAUGCAUGUCUUUUUUAAUUAAUUGGGUGAUGUUUUUCUAAAAUUAAAAUUUUCUUCUUCCUAUAGCCCUGCCAUAGGACAGGCUGAGGCUGAGUCUCAGUGUUGCCCUGUUCAGUCUGAGGCAAGUGGGAUUUAUUUUAUUACUUAUGGGGGCUUUCACAGCUUUAUGGCUGUUGGAUAUUUAUGUCCCCAAACUUGCAGCAAGUUUGGUGAAGGCCCCUAAAUUUAAUUAAACUUAGGAUUUUUAUAUUCCUUUGGCAGAGAAGGCUCUAUAUUAAUAUUCACGUUUGACUGUGGUGUUAAUAAGUAUAAAUAAGUAUUGUUUUAUUAUAUAAUAUUUAAUGCUUUGUGAACCUUAGUAAAUUCACCAUUUUAUAUUCUUGAUUUGGAGGCCUGAUGUGUUUCAUUCAAAUUUUUACUUAGACCUCUAGGAAAAAAUCAUUGGUUGUUUUUUUUGCUCAAACUUAAAUUUAACCUCAAGGAUAAGUUAUUUGAAUUGCCACAGGAUACUGAAGUUUGUUCUAAAUCUCAAGCUUAUAUUGAACAUCGAGGUGGUAAGGUCAUCCGGAAAGGCUUAUGCUCUUUAAUGUUCUCAAAUCUCACCACACUAGAGCAAAUGUUAAUGUAGAGCCCUGUAAUGAGUGGGGAGGUCAUUUGUCUGUGCGUGUGUGGUGUAUUAUAGAUGGGUGUAGACUACAGGUGUGGUAUUAAAGGGCUUUGGGUAUUACAUGGCUCAAUGGAAAGAGAACUAAUUUUCAGGUAGCCAAACUGAAAUUGGGUCAUAUAAUAAAUAUGAAACUAGUUCAGAAUGAUUUUGGAAGUUAAAUUUUCAGAUUUUACUGAGCAGUGCUUCAUGUAAUGCACACACCAGUAGUAUAUCCACAUUUGUUUUCAAGUAGAAUUUGCUUUGAUUUUGGUGUUCAGAACUAGUGUGUUGGGAAAUGGGGUGAUGACAGAAAGUAGGUUCCAACUUGUUUAUUCCUUACAUCAGACUGGAAACAGAUUUUAAUCCUUGGGGGGGAGUUGUGGUUAUUUUAAUUUUAGAUUUUUUCAAAUGGGUUUUCUCUGUAUAACCCUAGCUGUCAGUCUGGAACUCUUGUUUACAAGACCUCGAACUCAGGUAUCUGCCUGCCUCUCUGCUUCCCCAGUGUUGUGAUUAAAGGCCUGGGCCCCGACACCUGACAAGAUAUUAAUACUUUCAGGAACUACUGUUUCCGUGACAAUGUUCCACUGGAUUGCUGAUAACAUUUAGUAAAUUACAGUUUUGGGUUUUUUUUUUUUAGACUUGUUAAAUGGACUUUACUUCAAUCAUAGGGUGCUUAUCUAAUGCUAUGUCCAAGACCUUGAAUUUCAUUCCCACCACCAUUUAACAACUGUGACUGCAGGUGUAUUUUUAUCUUGUGUCCACCCUACUCUAGUAUAUGUAAAUCUCUUAAAAUUGCCUGAGCCGAUUUUAAGUUAAAAUAGGUUCUUAUUUUCUUGAAUAUAGGGGUGGGGAAGCGAUUUACUAAUCAUGAUACAUUUGCUUAAUGAAUACCAAAUCAUUCUUUGCACUUGGCUGUAUUCCUCACAGUUGGGAAUUUGAGUUAGGAAGAUUGCUGUGAGUUUGGAGAUCAGCCUGGGCUACAGAGUAUAAGACCCUGUCAGGGUGGAGAUGAUGGCUUUGUAGUUCAGUGAUCCAGAGAACCAGUUGAGAAUUAUGCAGUUUUCAGGUUUCUGUAAAAGCACACUGAUAACAUUUGAUAAACAAUACUGACUUCGCUUUGUUGAGAUACAGUAAGCAAAUGAAUGUGGGAUUUGUACAUUUUUAUUGGCUAGAAUUUACUAAGCAUAUACCCUAAAUUUUUUAAUAAAUCUGAUACGUAUUUUUAAAGGU
Molecule: long non-coding RNA, 2906 nt
Filed under: Mus musculus (house mouse)
Lineage: Eukaryota; Metazoa; Chordata; Mammalia; Rodentia; Muridae
Description: long non-coding RNA chr11:80397319-80400225
Source: RNAcentral